GUGUUUUUAGUUUAUUUGGUAAAACGGCUGAUUGUGAUUCAGCAAAACAGGGUUCGAUUCCCGAAAACACCCA
Molecule: transfer RNA, 73 nt
Filed under: Flavobacterium piscinae
Lineage: Bacteria; Pseudomonadati; Bacteroidota; Flavobacteriia; Flavobacteriales; Flavobacteriaceae
Description: Flavobacterium sp. ICH-30 tRNA-His
Rfam family: tRNA
About the family: Transfer RNA (tRNA) molecules are approximately 80 nucleotides in length. Their secondary structure includes four short double-helical elements and three loops (D, anti-codon, and T loops). Further hydrogen bonds mediate the characteristic L-shaped molecular structure. tRNAs have two regions of fundamental functional importance: the anti-codon, which is responsible for specific mRNA codon recognition, and the 3' end, to which the tRNAs corresponding amino acid is attached (by aminoacyl-tRNA synthetases). tRNAs cope with the degeneracy of the genetic code in two manners: having more than one tRNA (with a specific anti-codon) for a particular amino acid; and 'wobble' base-pairing, i.e. permitting non-standard base-pairing at the 3rd anti-codon position.
Source: RNAcentral